Molecule: ribosomal RNA, 433 nt
Filed under: uncultured bacterium
Lineage: Bacteria
Description: partial 16S ribosomal RNA
Rfam family: Bacterial small subunit ribosomal RNA
Source: RNAcentral
AACGAACGCUGGCGGCAUGCCUAACACAUGCAAGUCGAACGAGACCUUCGGGUCUAGUGGCGCACGGGUGCGUAACGCGUGGGAACCUGCCCUUAGGUUCGGAAUAACUCCCCGAAAGGGGUGCUAAUACCGGAUAAUGUCUUCGGACCAAAGAUUUAUCGCCUUUGGAUGGGCCCGCGUUGGAUUAGCUAGUUGGUAGGGUAAAAGCCUACCAAGGCGACGAUCCAUAGCUGGUCUGAGAGGAUGAUCAGCCACACUGGGACUGAGACACGGCCCAGACUCCUACGGGAGGCAGCAGUGGGGGAUAUUGGACAGUGGGCGAAAGCCUGAUCCAGCAAUGCCGCGUGAGUGAUGAAGGCCUUAGGGUUGUAAAGCUCUUUUACCCGGGAUGAUAAUGACAGUACCGGGAGAAUAAGCUCCGGCUAACUCCGUG